This 1140-nucleotide long non-coding RNA is filed under the name Corvus moneduloides (New Caledonian crow). Its description in RNAcentral is "lncRNA (ENSCMUG00000018584.1)". Lineage: Eukaryota; Metazoa; Chordata; Aves; Passeriformes; Corvidae. The record is from RNAcentral.
AUGGGCGCCGCCAUCUUCGGCCCCUGUCACGUGACACGGGGCGUACCACCACAGACCCCCCCAUCGGUGUCCACAGGGACCCCCAGAGACGCCGCGGGUCGCUAUGGAGACCCCCCCAAAGAGACUCUCCAGACAGCCCACGGGGGAUUAUGGACAUCCCCAAGUACCCCCAGAGACCCCACGGGCGGUUUUCGGCAUCCCCACCCCAUUGAAAUCCCCCGGACACACUCGGGGGGUUAUGGGGACCCCCACCCUCAGACACCUUGCGCAGAGACCCUCGAGCAAAUCCCCCCCCGGGCACAACCCCCCGGUCAACACCCCCCUGCGGCCCCCCUCAGAGCCCCCCUAGGACCCUCCCCGGCCAAUUGCCCCGGAGCCCCCGCCUCCCCCGGGAAGCCCCCGGUCCGUGCCGCUGCAGCUCCUUCGGGGGUCCCCCCGCUUCCCCCUCACUCACCGCCGGCUCCGGGGGUCCCUGGGCCGGGGGCGGAGCGGGCCGGGCCCCCCUCACUUGAUACUCAGGCGGGGGCGGGGGGGGGCGCAGCAUCGGGAGGGGGGGGGGACGGCACUGGGGGCACCGGGGGGGGUGGCACGGGGGGGGACAGGGGGGGAGGUGGCACUGGGGACAGGCGGGGGGGGCGCAAAAAGGGGAGCAGCAGGGGGGGCGACAGGACGGGGGGUGAUACUGGGGGCAGCAGGGAGGGGGGUGGCAGGGAGGGGGGUGGCACUGGGGGCAGCAGGGAGGGGGGUAGCACUGGGGACAGGGGGGUGGGGGGCAGCAGGAGGGGUGGCAGGGUGGGGGGUGGCACUGGGGGCAGCAGGGCGGGGGGUGGCAGGGCGGGGGGUGGCACUGGGGGCAGCAGGAGGGGUGGCAGGGCGGGGGGUGGCACUGGGGGCAGCAGGGCGGGGGGCAGAGGGCGGGGGCGCAGCACGGGGGCAGGUGACAGGAGGGGGGACAGUGCGGGGAGGUUCCCCCGCGCCGGCGGGGCCGGGGUCGCGGCCAGCCCAGCCCCAUGGCCGAGCGGCCCCCCUGCGGCCCCUCCCGCCCCCGGGGAUUUACCGGGAAAAGCGGCUGAGCGGGGGGAGCGGGGGGGACACGUGGCGGCACCCAUGGGUGAGGGACACGGGGACAUGGGGACGUGA